This 440-nucleotide ribosomal RNA is filed under the name uncultured bacterium. RNAcentral's name for it is "partial 16S ribosomal RNA". It matches the Rfam family "Bacterial small subunit ribosomal RNA", at positions 338 to 795 of the family's 1533-position model. The record is from RNAcentral.
CCUACGGGCGGCAGCAGUGGGGAAUAUUGCACAAUGGGGGAAACCCUGAUGCAGCGACGCCGCGUGAGUGAAGAAGUAUUUCGGUACGUAAAGCUCUAUCAGCAGGGAAGAAAAUGACGGUACCUGACUAAGAAGCCCCGGCUAACUACGUGCCAGCAGCCGCGGUAAUACGUAGGGGGCAAGCGUUAUCCGGAUUUACUGGGUGUAAAGGGAGCGUAGACGGCAGCGCAAGUCUGGAGUGAAAUCCCAUGGCUUAACCAUGGAACUGCUUGGGAAACUGUGCAGCUAGAGUGCAGGAGAGGUAAGCGGAAUUCCUAGUGUAGCGGUGAAAUGCGUAGAUAUUAGGAGGAACACCAGUGGCGAAGGCGGCUUACUGGACUGUAACUGACGUUGAGGCUCGAAAGCGUGGGGAGCAAACAGGAUUAGAUACCCCUGUAGUC